AUUGAACGCUGGCGGCAGGCCUAACACAUGCAAGUCGAGCGGAUGAAGGGAGCUUGCUCCUGGAUUCAGCGGCGGACGGGUGAGUAAUGCCUAGGAAUCUGCCUGGUAGUGGGGGAUAACGUCCGGAAACGGGCGCUAAUACCGCAUACGUCUUGAGGGAGAAGGUGGGGGUUCUUCGGACCUCACGCUAUCAGAUGAGCCUAGGUCGGAUUAGCUAGUUGGUGGGGUAAAGGCCUACCAAGGCGACGUACCGUAACUGGUCUGAGAGGAUGAUCAGGCACCCUGGAACUGGGACACGGUCCGGCUUCCUCCGGGAGGCGGCAGUGGGGAAUAUUGGACAUUGGGCGAAGGCCUGAUCCAGCAAUGCCGCGUGUGUGAAGAAGGUCUUCGGAUUGUAAAGCCCUUUAAGUUGGGAGGAAGGGCAGUAAGUUAAUAACUUGCUGUUUUGACGUUACCAACAGAAUAAGCACCGGCUAACUUCGUG
This 484-nucleotide ribosomal RNA is filed under the name uncultured bacterium. RNAcentral's name for it is "partial 16S ribosomal RNA". It matches the Rfam family "Bacterial small subunit ribosomal RNA", at positions 30 to 507 of the family's 1533-position model. The record is from RNAcentral.